RNAcentral lists this ribosomal RNA (292 nucleotides) under uncultured bacterium. RNAcentral's name for it is "partial 16S ribosomal RNA". It matches the Rfam family "Bacterial small subunit ribosomal RNA", at positions 505 to 796 of the family's 1533-position model. The record is from RNAcentral.
GUGCCAGCAGCCGCGGUAAUACGGAGGGUGCAAGCGUUAAUCGGAAUUACUGGGCGUAAAGGGCGCGUAGGCGGCCUUGCAAGUCGGAUGUGAAAUCCCUCGGCUCAACCGGGGAACUGCAUUCGAAACUGCUUGGCUAGAGUACUGGAGAGGGUGGCGGAAUUCCCGGUGUAGGAGUGAAAUCCGUAGAGAUCGGGAGGAACACCAGUGGCGAAGGCGGCCACCUGGACAGUAACUGACGCUGAGGCGCGAAAGCGUGGGUAGCAAACAGGAUUAGAUACCCUUGUAGUCC